UGUUUUUUAUUGAUAUUUUUAUUUCCAAAGACUAGUUGUUUUUGCCAUUACUAUUUUUUUGCACUCCCUUCACCCAUGAUGCUGAGUCUAAAAAAACAAUAAUUGUAAAAAUUACCUGCUGAGCUAUGCAAUAUAAUCUGCUAUAUUAACUGCACAAGGUUUAGCAGUGCUAAAAGUGCCAAAGAAAAACAGUCCCUGGAAAUGGCUUUGAAUUCAUAGACAUAGAGAGGAUACAAGAUGCCUCAUUCAGAGAUGAGUUGUUGAUCUGACUCAUUAAUUAGAAUUUGCAUUAGUUGAUUAAAUGUUCCAGUGAAAACAAGGUAAGUGAAACUGCAUAAAGCACAACCUAUCACACUAUUCCACUGCUGUUGUUCUUACAUUUAAUCAGUGACAGAAUUAAACCUAUUAAGCAUUUAAUUCUUCUAGUGAUCCCGAAGCAAGAAAAGAAUAUUUCCAGUGCUCUCUUGGCUGCUUGCGAGUUGCAAUUAAUCUAAUUUGAUCUCAGUAUUUGCUGCUGUUUUGAGGCUUUACAUUAUUUUCUCACCCCUUUGGUUCAUGGUCAAUAAAAUUAAUGCUGUUUUCUCUCUCACUCUUCUCCUGCAGAGUUCUGCACGGCACCAGCCUUGAACUGUUUUCCCUUUUCUGACUCUAAUGUCCUCUAUUCCUGGCUGAAGUCUUGAUAAUGCCUCAUGUCAUCAAUAAGAUUCCAUAUUGGAGGAAAAUGAUGGUGGUCAGCAGGACAAUCCUGAGGAAGAAUUCCUUGAAUGUGGACAUGAAGGUCUUCAGGCAAUAAUGUGUGAUGGUGUGAGAGUAAACAAGCUUCAGUUACAAUACGAAGAGCCUCAGCUUUUCAUUGUUUGACAGAGUGAUUCCUGGAUUCCUUAAACUGAGAAGCAGUGGAAAAAGAAUUAGCCUUUAUAUUCUGCAGAGUUUUUGGAAGACAUUCUUUAGUUUGUUGGCUUCCUAUACAGGGUCUCAUAAGGGUCUUAUGUCAUUUCUAAACUCCUUUAUAGUGCAAAAAUGAGCUACUUACUAAUUAAUUAAUAAAACUCUAUCUGCUUCUAUCUACAAGAAAGAUGUUCUUUCCAUUGUUCUUUAAAAAACAUUUUCAUUCAGUCUGAACUGAAAUUGUUUAAUUCUGGUUUUUGUGAGAUGAAAAUGGUUGGAAUAUGUUCCACAUGUAUUCAGAUAAAUUAAAAUAUAGCUUAAAUAUAUAUUUUCCUUUCUAUACUAGAAUUAUGCUUCUAUAUUUUCUUAAAUUGUGUGUGUUUUUUUGCCCGAAUCCUUUUAAAAUCUAAAGAAAAUUCAAAGCUGAAAGUGCA
Non-coding RNA from Taeniopygia guttata (zebra finch), 1322 nucleotides. The record is from RefSeq and is a predicted model, not a curated record. Lineage: Eukaryota; Metazoa; Chordata; Aves; Passeriformes; Estrildidae.